UCUACAGCCACCAUGACUCCACUGCUGCUGCUUUCUGUCUGCAUAGCUUUCAUUCAGGAUUCAAGAUGUCAGAUUUCUUUAACUCAACCAUCAGCACCAAAGUCAGUUUCUCCUGGAGGGAGCGUCACCUUCAGCUGUACCACUGGAAGUAAUGUGUAUGGUAACAUGGCCUGGUACCAGCAGAGACCUGGAGAAACUCCUAAACCCCGGAUCUAUGCUGCAAGCACUCGCUACGGUGACACCCCGAGUCGCUUCACUGGCAGCGGGUCAGGAACUUCAUACAGUUUGACUAUCAGUGGAGUCCAGCCUGAAGACGCCGGUCACUACUACUGUCAGCAGCAUGCUAGCUUCCCUCUCACACAGUGAUUGAGACUCGUACAAAAACCUCACUGAGCUGCUGUCAUGUCUGCAGGUGCGAAACUGAAGCACUGAGAUGAGACUUAAAGCAGAAACCAAUGAGCUGAAACAACUGAAUGUGAGGUGACAGUAAAACCAAAGAGGAACAAACUAACUGAAAAAUUAGAAUGAAAGAAACAUAACAGAGCAAAGAAAAUCUACCUUACAUUAUU
Molecule: non-coding RNA, 569 nt
Organism: Polypterus senegalus (gray bichir)
Lineage: Eukaryota; Metazoa; Chordata; Cladistia; Polypteriformes; Polypteridae
Source: the annotation of a RefSeq genome assembly